RNAcentral lists this unclassified non-coding RNA (359 nucleotides) under soil metagenome. Its description in RNAcentral is "partial contains 5.8S ribosomal RNA, internal transcribed spacer 2, and large subunit ribosomal RNA". The stretch from base 1 to 120 matches the Rfam family "5.8S ribosomal RNA", at positions 35 to 154 of the family's 154-position model. The record is from RNAcentral.
GAUGAAGAACGUAGCGAAACGCGAUAGUUAAUGUGAAUUGCAGAAUUCAGUGAAUCAUCGAGUCUUUGAACGCACAUUGCGCCCCCUGGUAUUCCGGGGGGCAUGCCUGUCCGAGCGUCAUUGCUGCCCAUCAAGCGCGGCUUGUGUGUUGGGCCGCCGUCCGCCUUCCCCCCCGGGGGGAGGGGGACGGGCCCGAAAGGCAGCGGCGGCACCGCGUCCGGUCCUCGAGCGUAUGGGGCUCUGUCACCCGCUCUGGAGGCCCGGCCGGCGCCCGCCGACCCCCAACCUUCUUCUAACCAGGUUGACCUCGGAUCAGGUAGGGAUACCCGCUGAACUUAAGCAUAUCAAUAAGCGGAGGA